GCACUGUUAGUGUAGCGGUUAUCAUCCCAGCCUUCCAAGCUGGGGACCGGGGUUCGACUCCCCGACAGUGCA
This 72-nucleotide transfer RNA is filed under the name Colletotrichum higginsianum. RNAcentral describes it as "tRNA-Gly". It matches the Rfam family "tRNA". From Rfam's summary of the family: Transfer RNA (tRNA) molecules are approximately 80 nucleotides in length. Their secondary structure includes four short double-helical elements and three loops (D, anti-codon, and T loops). Lineage: Eukaryota; Fungi; Ascomycota; Sordariomycetes; Glomerellales; Glomerellaceae. The record is from RNAcentral.